GAUGAACGCUGGCGGCGUGCCUAAUACAUGCAAGUCGAGCGAACAGAUGAGGAGCUUGCUCCUCUGACGUUAGCGGCGGACGGGUGAGUAACACGUGGAUAACCUACCUAUAAGACUGGGAUAACUUCGGGAAACCGGAGCUAAUACCGGAUAAUAUAUUGAACCGCAUGGUUCAAUAGUGAAAGACGGUUUUGCUGUCACUUAUAGAUGGAUCCGCGCCGCAUUAGCUAGUUGGUAAGGUAACGGCUUACCAAGGCAACGAUGCGUAGCCGACCUGAGAGGGUGAUCGGCCACACUGGAACUGAGACACGGUCCAGACACCUACGGGAGGCAGCAGUAGGGAAUCUUCCGCAAUGGGCGAAAGCCUGACGGAGCAACGCCGCGUGAGUGAUGAAGGUCUUCGGAUCGUAAAACUCUGUUAUUAGGGAAGAACAAAUGUGUAAGUAACUAUGCACGUCUUGACGGUACCUAAUCAGAAAGCCACGGCUAACUACGUG
This 497-nucleotide ribosomal RNA is filed under the name uncultured bacterium. Its description in RNAcentral is "partial 16S ribosomal RNA". It matches the Rfam family "Bacterial small subunit ribosomal RNA", at positions 28 to 507 of the family's 1533-position model. The record is from RNAcentral.